RNAcentral lists this ribosomal RNA (497 nucleotides) under uncultured bacterium. Its description in RNAcentral is "partial 16S ribosomal RNA". It matches the Rfam family "Bacterial small subunit ribosomal RNA", at positions 28 to 507 of the family's 1533-position model. The record is from RNAcentral.
GACGAACGCUGGCGGCGUGCCUAAUACAUGCAAGUUGAGCGCUGAAGGUUGGUUCUUGUACCAACUGGAUGAGCAGCGAACGGGUGAGUAACGCGUGGGGAAUCUGCCUUUGAGCGGGGGACAACAUUUGGAAACGAAUGCUAAUACCGCAUAAAAACUUUAAACACAAGUUUUAAGAUUGAAAGAUGCAAUUGCAUCACUCAAAGAUGAUCCCGCGUUGUAUUAGCUAGUUGGUGAGGUAAAGGCUCACCAAGGCGAUGAUACAUAGCCGACCUGAGAGGGUGAUCGGCCACAUUGGGACUGGGACACGGCCCAAACUCCUACGGGAGGCAGCAGUAGGGAAUCUUCGGCAAUGGACGAAAGUCUGACCGAGCAACGCCGCGUGAGUGAAGAAGGUUUUCGGAUCGUAAAACUCUGUUGGUAGAGAAGAACGUUGGUGAGAGUGGAAAGCUCAUCAAGUGACGGUAACUACCCAGAAAGGGACGGCUAACUACGUG